This 132-nucleotide small RNA is filed under the name Escherichia coli. Its description in RNAcentral is "RtT sRNA". It matches the Rfam family "RtT RNA". From Rfam's summary of the family: This family represents a bacterial cis-regulatory element known as RtT RNA. The exact function of RtT is unknown although it is thought that it may be involved in changing the cellular response in relation to amino acid starvation. The record is from RNAcentral. Lineage: Bacteria; Pseudomonadati; Pseudomonadota; Gammaproteobacteria; Enterobacterales; Enterobacteriaceae.
AUUCUGCCCAUGCGGGGAAGGAUGAGAAGCUUCGACUAAGGUUCGGCUCGAGCGUCAGCGAGAGAACGUUGCCGCAGGCAACGACCCGAAGGGCGAAGCGCGCAGCGCUGAGUAAUCCUUCCCCCACCACCA